Molecule: ribosomal RNA, 463 nt
Filed under: Dociostaurus maroccanus
Lineage: Eukaryota; Metazoa; Arthropoda; Insecta; Orthoptera; Acrididae
Description: partial 16S ribosomal RNA
Rfam family: Archaeal large subunit ribosomal RNA
Source: RNAcentral
UUUAAAGAGCCGCGGUAUUUUGACCGUGCAAAGGUAGCAUAAUCAUUAGUCUCUUAAUUAGAGGCUGGAAUGAAUGGCUUGACGAGAAAUCAACUGUCUCUUAAUAAGUUUUAUAAUUUAACUUUUGAGUCAAAAGGCUUAAAUUUUCCUUUAGGACGAGAAGACCCUAUAGAGCUUUACAUUUUAUUUAUAUAUAUUUUUAAGAUAGUCUUUUUAUAUUUAAUGUCAAUGUUUUGUUGGGGUGACAUGAAGAAUUAAUAAACUCUUCAUUAUUAAAUCAUUGAUUUAUGUUUAUUUGAUCCAUAAUUUAUGAUCAUAAGAUUAAGUUACCUUAGGGAUAACAGCGUAAUUGUUUUUGAGAGCUCAUAUCGACAAAGCAGAUUGCGACCUCGAUGUUGGAUUAAGAAAAGUUUUGGGUGCAGUAGCCCAGUAAUUAGGUCUGUUCGACCUUUAAAUUCUUACG